GAUGAACGCUAGCUACAGGCUUAACACAUGCAAGUCGAGGGACCGGCGCACGGGUGGGUAACGCGUAUCCAACCUUCCCGUUGCUAGGGGAUAACCUUGCGAAAGUAAGACUAAUACCCUAUGGCAACGGAUGGGGAUGCGUCUGAUUAGGUUGUUGGCGGGGUAACGGCCCACCAAGCCUACGAUCAGUAGGGGUUCUGAGAGGAAGGUCCCCCACAUUGGAACUGAGACACGGUCCAAACUCCUACGGGAGGCAGCAGUGAGGAAUAUUGGUCAAUGGACGGAAGUCUGAACCAGCCAAGUAGCGUGCAGGAUGACGGCCUAUGGGUUGUAAACUGCUUUUAUGUGGGAAUAGGUACCACAUGAAUAAGGACCGGCUAAUUCCGUGCCAGCAGCCGCGGUAAUACGGAAGGUCCGGGCGUUAUCCGGAUUUAUUGGGUUUAAAGGGAGCGUAGGCCGUCUUUUAAGCGUGUUGUGAAAUACUGUCGCUCAACGACAGAGGUGCAGCGCGAACUGGGAGACUUGAGUGCGCGGAAUGCAGGCGGAAUUCGUCGUGUAGCGGUGAAAUGCUUAGAUAUGACGAAGAACUCCGAUUGCGAAGGCAGCUUGCAGUAGCGUAACUGACGCUGAAGCUCGAAAGUGCGGGUAUCGAACAGGAUUAGAUACCCUGGUAGUCCGCACGGUGAACGAUGGAUGCUCGCUGUUCACGCGGCCAAGCGAAAGCGUUAAGCAUCCCACCUGGGGAGUACGCCGGCAACGGUGCAACUCAAAUGAAUUGACGGA
Molecule: ribosomal RNA, 783 nt
Filed under: uncultured bacterium
Lineage: Bacteria
Description: bacterial SSU rRNA
Rfam family: Bacterial small subunit ribosomal RNA
Source: RNAcentral